RNAcentral lists this ribosomal RNA (1343 nucleotides) under uncultured bacterium. RNAcentral describes it as "16S ribosomal RNA". It matches the Rfam family "Bacterial small subunit ribosomal RNA", at positions 28 to 1378 of the family's 1533-position model. The record is from RNAcentral.
GACGAACGCUGGCGGCGUGCUUAACACAUGCAAGUCGAACGGAAAGGCCCUGCUUUUGUGGGGUGCUCGAGUGGCGAACGGGUGAGUAACACGUGAGUAACCUGCCCUUGACUUUGGGAUAACUUCAGGAAACUGGGGCUAAUACCGGAUAGGAGCUCCUGCUGCAUGGUGGGGGUUGGAAAGUUUCGGCGGUUGGGGAUGGACUCGCGGCUUAUCAGCUUGUUGGUGGGGUAGUGGCUUACCAAGGCUUUGACGGGUAGCCGGCCUGAGAGGGUGACCGGCCACAUUGGGACUGAGAUACGGCCCAGACUCCUACGGGAGGCAGCAGUGGGGAAUAUUGCACAAUGGGCGGAAGCCUGAUGCAGCAACGCCGCGUGCGGGAUGACGGCCUUCGGGUUGUAAACCGCUUUCGCCUGUGACGAAGCGUGAGUGACGGUAAUGGGUAAAGAAGCACCGGCUAACUACGUGCCAGCAGCCGCGGUGAUACGUAGGGUGCGAGCGUUGUCCGGAUUUAUUGGGCGUAAAGGGCUCGUAGGUGGUUGAUCGCGUCGGAAGUGUAAUCUUGGGGCUUAACCCUGAGCGUGCUUUCGAUACGGGUUGACUUGAGGAAGGUAGGGGAGAAUGGAAUUCCUGGUGGAGCGGUGGAAUGCGCAGAUAUCAGGAGGAACACCAGUGGCGAAGGCGGUUCUCUGGGCCUUUCCUGACGCUGAGGAGCGAAAGCGUGGGGAGCGAACAGGCUUAGAUACCCUGGUAGUCCACGCUGUAAACGGUGGGUACUAGGUGUGGGGUCCAUUCCACGGGUUCCGUGCCGUAGCUAACGCUUUAAGUACCCCGCCUGGGGAGUACGGCCGCAAGGCUAAAACUCAAAGGAAUUGACGGGGCCCCGCACAAGCGGCGGAGCAUGCGGAUUAAUUCGAUGCAACGCGUAGAACCUUACCUGGGUUUGACAUGGAUCGGGAGUGCUCAGAGAUGGGUGUGCCUCUUUUGGGGUCGGUUCACAGGUGGUGCAUGGCUGUCGUCAGCUCGUGUCGUGAGAUGUUGGGUUAAGUCCCGCAACGAGCGCAACCCUUGUUCACUGUUGCCAGCACGUUAUGGUGGGGACUCAGUGGAGACCGCCGGGGUCAACUCGGAGGAAGGUGGGGAUGACGUCAAGUCAUCAUGCCCCUUAUGUCCAGGGCUUCACGCAUGCUACAAUGGCUGGUACAGAGAGUGGCGAGCCUGUGAGGGUGAGCGAAUCUCGGAAAGCCGGUCUCAGUUCGGAUUGGGGUCUGCAACUCGACCUCAUGAAGUCGGAGUCGCUAGUAAUCGCAGAUCAGCAACGCUGCGGUGAAUACAUUCCCGGG